ACAUAAAACACAGAAAGAAAUGUUAGAUGCUAAAGAAAAAUAGAUAGAUUCUAGUCAAAGCAAUAACCAGGGCAAACAAGAGAAUAGCCUGUAUUCUAAACGGGCUGAGACUAGCUGGUGAUGAAGGUGCUGGAUUUCCGGGCCCACUGACAAUGAUGCGUUUGGGAUCCACAUGGGGAUCUCAUGUAUUUACCUUUCACAGGAGAGAGUGUAGCCUACGCCCUUUUGGUCCAUCUCUGGAUGGUCUUUGAGUCUCUGCUGAGUCUUGGAUCACUCAUCGCUCAUUCAUUCCACACCACUCCCCAGCGUGAAGCUCACAGACUUUACCAUCACCCAGUAACAGACAACCAAGUGCAUGUUUCUUUAAAUUCCAAACAUGCUUUUAACAUUCAACCCUUUCCCCCUACCCCUUUUCUGUAAUAUUAAAAGGAACAAGUAGAAAGUCUAUGAGGAAAUAAAGAAUCACAAAAAUAAUUCCUUAGAUUUACAAUAUUCUUUACAGAUCUCACAAAGCAUGUGCAUAAGCCUCAUCACAGGCCUGGUUAUUACUAACCCACCUAAGAAAGGGGAAACUGAGGCUCAGUGAUUAAGAGACACCUCAGUUAUCACUGUUAAUAAAUGAAGAAGGGAGGAUUUUCUGACUCGAAGGCCAGUGUGCUCUUUUCAGUAUAUUACUGUGCCUACAGAAGGAUAGAAAGGUAACAGUCCAGCGAAUAAUAAUUACAGCAAUACCAAUAAGGAUGACAGUGUAAACCUGAAUGGUAUUUUAUGCAGAGCAUUUCCACAUCUACCAUCACAUUUGAUUUUUUAACUGUGUAAAGAGUAAAGCAGACAUUAACAGCACCAUUUUACAGAUGAAGACACAGGCGCUCAAAGAAGUUGGGUGAUUUGACAAGAUCAUGAAUCACAUGGUCAAGAGAAGUCGUAGAGGGCCAAGAUUAGAUCCAGAGAGAGGCAAGAGGAGGCUGGAGACCUCAAGCUUAGACCCUCAUCUCUAUCCUGCUGGUGGGACCAUCCACCACAGAGUAACCUGUACUCAAUGACCAAAGACAAAAUUCCAAGUUUUAAUACAACUGGGACAUCUCUUCUGGCAGCUGGACUGCCUGAAAAAAAUAUAAUUUUUUUUUGGAGAGUUGGACUGACAGAAAUAUAAUUAUCUUUCCAGAAAAGAGAUUUUAUUUUGUUCUAGUAAACAUUAGGAAAAUAAGCUGAAAUUAAUCUAGAUGAGUACAGAGAUGGGUGCAGCUUCAGUACAUAAUGUAAUCAAAAUGCAACUUCAAAACAGGACCACAUACAUCUAUUUCUUCCCCCGCCUCAAACAACUACACGGCAGUAAAGGGAUUUUAGAAAAGAGCUAUGAGACAACAGUGGAUGAAAAGUUCAAUAACUCGGAGUUCCUGUCUUGGUGCAGCAGAAACGAAUCCAACUAGGAACCAUGAGGUUGCGGGUUCAAUCCCUUGCCCCACUCAGUGGGUUAAGGAUCCGGUGUUGCCGUGAACUGUGGUGUAGGUCACAGACGCGGCUCGAAUCUGGUGUUGCUGUGGCUCUGGGGUAGGCCGGCAGCAACAGUGCCAAUAGGACCCCUAGCCUGGGAACCUCCAUAUGCUGCGGGUGUGACCCUAAAAGGACAAAAGACAAAAAAAGUUCAAUAACUUCAGAAAAACGGCAAGUGGCUGGAGGGGUGAUAAUGGAUUUAAAAGAAGAAUGACAGAAAGACAAAGACAAAUACCAUAUGAUAUCACUUAUAACUGGAAUCUAAUAUCCAGCACAAAUGAACAUCUAUCUCCUCAGAAAAGAAAAUCAUGGACUUAGAGAAGAGACUUGUGGCUGCCUGAUGGGAGGGGGAGGGAGUGGGAGGGAUCCGGAGCUUGGGCUUAUCAGACACAACUUAGAACAGAUUUACAAGGAGAUCCUGCUGAAUAGCAUUGAGAACUUUGUCUAGAUACUCAUGUUGCAACAGAAGAAAGGGUGGGGGAAAAAUGUAAUUGUAAUGUAUACAUGUAAGGAUAACCUGACCCCCUUGCUGUACAGUGGUAAAAUAAAAAAAAUUAUAAAAAAAAUAAAAGAAGAAUGGAGGCAAAACCCGGGUGCUUAGUCAAGGGGUGAUGAUGAGAACAGAGACCCCUUCAGUCCUCCAAAAGCUCAGAACUUACACAGGCGAGGAACAGCAGGGUGAGGGAACUGAGAGAAAACCUGCCCACCAACAACAGAGGCACCCCCCAAGCCCCUUCCCUCACUCAUGACAUGCCCUCAAUCUGAGCAAAGAUGUUGAUUCCAACCCCCACCCCACCUCCUCCAGGAAAGAUAUUAAAGGACUGAUCUCUGGAGAAAUGGAGUUGCCCAGAGAAAAGACUUCAAAUACAGAUGUCUGGGAAAACCCCCUGCAAGACAAAAGCCGGCUCCCCAACUAGCAACACUGGAGGCAGGACCCAGAGCCAGACACCUGCUCAGGCCACAGUUGCCCAGCAGCUCUGGAAUUUCACCAGCACACGUGGACAGCCAGCCAGAGCACACCAGGUAUUUCAGGAAAACUACUAACAGAAACAAGACAAAUCAUUUAAAAAAGAAGGAAAAGCAAUUGGAUAAAAGUGAGACAACCCAGGGAGUAGAGGAAUGCUUUUUUUAAAGAUACAAUAAACAUUCCCCUGGAAUACUUUUUAAAAGCUAUCAUAAAUGUCCUCAGAGAGGAUAUUAUAUCCCUGAAAUGAGAACAAGAUACAACUGAAAUAACAACAAGCAGAGGAUAAGAGAACAUUCUUGAAGAAUAAAAAUGGGAUGCUAAUACCAAAAAUGCAAAAGCUAAACUACGAGUGAAGUCAAGUCAGAGUCAGUGUCCCGUACCGCAAUGCCAGCUGCCUUCAUUCCAGUCCCCCCACACCCUAUAAGACCACACAGAUCAGCAAGGAUAACAAAACCACCCUUAACCCCACGCCUACUACAAAACUAGGAGUCAGAGAGUACCACAAACUUCAGUUUGCAGGUAAGUAGAGAAGUGAACAUCUGAAACCAGCUGAGUCAGGGUCCAAACUCACACUAGAGAGUCAGGCAAAGAGGGCACAGAAAAGAGGCAGCGCGGUUCCAGCGUCAGACACGGAUCAAAUUUAUCCCCCACAAGGUCACAUCCCAAAGAGGAAAAUAACGAGGAAAAGUCUGAAACCCGGCAGGAUCAGAGCAGAGGCUACUAAGAACUGGAAGGAAGCGACUAGGAAGCACUUGCAGCCAGCAGUUGGGGAAGGCGUUGCUUCUGGGGAAAAGAGACAACUUAGACGAGGGAGACAGGCCUUGACAGUUCGGUGCAAAGGCAAAGAAGGAAGUGAUGGAAGUUCAGGGUCCUAAAGAAACAUAAGAGAAUCACAACCAGAGGUCACGCCAACCCCAUUCGCCACCCAAAAAGGAAGCAGUGUCCAGUGAAGAAACUGAACUUCUCCAAACGAAUAGAAUCAGGUACUCAUGAAUUACAAACCUCUCACCCCAGUCCAUACUGAAUCUCUGUUGUCACUGAUACAGGAAAAUAAAGUCAUUUCAAAGUAACCCUAAGACAUCAGGAAAGGGUUUACAAAGCUACCAUGUGAAAAAAUGCUUCAAGUCAGAAUUUCAAAUACUAUAGCAAUAGAAAUGGAGAAAAGACAAAUGUUGACCAAAAUCAGAAAAAAAACAAGAUAAAAUCAUCUCAUGAUUUAUAUACUUAUAUAUUGCUUCACUGAAAAAAAAAAAUUCAUGGUACCUCACUUCAUGGAGUAUUGUGAAGAUUAGGUUAAAAAAAAAAAA
This is a non-coding RNA of Sus scrofa (pig), 3768 nucleotides long. NCBI's taxonomy places the organism in Eukaryota, Metazoa, Chordata, Mammalia, Artiodactyla, Suidae. The record is from RefSeq and is a predicted model, not a curated record.